This is a long non-coding RNA of Pistacia vera, 897 nucleotides long. RefSeq lists it as uncharacterized. The transcript has 2 exons. The record is from RefSeq and is a predicted model, not a curated record. Lineage: Eukaryota; Viridiplantae; Streptophyta; Magnoliopsida; Sapindales; Anacardiaceae.
AUCACGAGAGGAAGCGGGAAUCAACUUCUAAACCGAAUAAAAAUUCAUCUCAAAACCAGCAGCUGGAUUCAACAAACAAUAGCAACUCCAAGCCUACCGCUCCUAGCAAUUCUAAGAAAUCUGGUUCAAAGGGUGAGGGAAGCAACUCCAGUUCUUUGUCAUUGACAAAGUUGACAACCAGACUCAACUUUCUGAAGGAACGGCGGAGUCAGAUAGCAAGUGAACUCCAAAAUAUUCGAGGUUCUGGUCAAGCUGUCCGAAGUCAAGAUAAAAGUAGAGGAUCAGAAGCCCAGAACACAGACAAGUCUCAAGGAUCAGAAAUCGGCAGAGAAGGUGACAAUUCCCAAUCACUCCAAAACGUGGACAAACGGGAAGGCCAGUCACAUCAGAAACCGGAAAAGUUCAGGAAAUCAAAUAGCCAUUCAGUCCAGAAUGUGGAUGGAGGUAGAAGAUCAGAAGGCCAACGUCAAUACGCUUUGGAAAGAGGAAGAUCUGAAGGUCAUGUGAACUAUGACGGUGAACAAAGUCAAGGACCUGGUGGCCAAUCUGUCACGCCUUCUCGUACGUACUCUAGAUGAUACCAUGUCUUCUACAUAUCUCAGUCAUUGUUUGUGCACAGGCAGGAUGAAUUAAAAGCGCGUAGAAGAUGAGGAUGUUUUUUGGAAAGAAAACCUGCAACAUUUUCGGUGCCAAGUCCAGAGAGCCUAUUCUUCCCCCAAAAAGCUUGGGAUGUACAGAUCAACCAACUUACUAAUGUUAAUCAUGUCUAUUUGUUUUUUACCUGGUUAGAGACUGAGCAGUAUUGUACAGUAAUUUUACAUCUUUUGUAUGGGCAAAUUCAAUUUUUAAAUUAAUUGAAGUUGCUUGGCUCCUGACCUGAGAUCAAGCUUCUACUCA